RNA transcript from Quercus robur (English oak), 2443 nucleotides. It is a transcript of the gene named serine/threonine-protein kinase ZRK1-like, with no coding region annotated. The transcript has 4 exons. The record is from RefSeq and is a predicted model, not a curated record. NCBI's taxonomy places the organism in Eukaryota, Viridiplantae, Streptophyta, Magnoliopsida, Fagales, Fagaceae.
CCGGCAAUAGACGCGUCUCGGUUAGAACCUCACAGACUGGGUCAUUGCCCCAAGCGCAAAGAUGAAACCUCCUGAAAUGAAUUUACAAUAAAAAUGCCCUCAUUGUCAUGUCAUUCAGCUGACCCUCCAUCCCUCGCUAGCAGAGUAGUAGAGCACAAAGAAAAGAGAGCAAGGAAGGACGUUCCACAUUCAAGCUAUUAUGCGCUGGAGUUGGUUCAUGCCAUUUCAUCAUUUCUUUAUUAAAAGAAAGCGAGGAGAGAGAGCGUUUUAUGAGAAUGGAAGCCUGUUACUUGAGAAGCUGAUUGCCUCUUGCAAUGCCAAGCCUAUUCCCAUCCGUACCUUCUCCCCUCAACAGCUCCGCCAAGCAACCAACAACUUUUCUUCUGAAAAGCUGGUAAUGGAGUUCUCUAUUUGGUACGAGGGUUCUCUUGAAGGAGGAAUUGUUCUCAUUAAAUGUUCUUUUGUUCGCAAUGCCAAACCUAUUCCCAUCCGUACCUUCUCCCCUCAACAACUCCGCCAAGCAACCAAAAAUUAUCCUGCUGAACAUCUGGGAAUUUAUUUUUACAAGGGUUCUCUUGAAGGACGAAUUGUUCUCAUUAAGCGUUUAGGUUUUUGGACCGAUAAAGCCAUCAAUGAUUUAGUGAUUUCUGCACAAAUGAGUGGUCACAGCAAUGUAUUAAAGCCAAUAGGCUGUUGUCUCCACACUCCAUAUCCCGUUUUUGUGUUUGAAUUUGCCGCCAAUGGUUCCCUUGCAGAUCGAAUUUAUGUCUCCCACCGACGUCAGCCGAUGGAGUGGGAGAGAAGGUUAAAGAUUGCAAGGCAGAUUGCUCAUGCUCUUUCUUAUCUCCAUACUGCCUUCCCUAGACCUGUCCUCCACUUGUGUACACAUACGCGCAGUAUCUUAUUAGAUGAACAUGAUGUUCCCAAAUUGUCCCACUUUCAUUUUUCUGUAUCAAUUCCCGAAGGUGAAGCUGACGUGGACGCUCCUUUUCGUUCAAUAUUCUGCGCCCCGGAGUUUGAAGCAACAGGCAAGGCAACUGAGAAAGCUGAUGUAUAUGAUUUUGGUCGGAUUCUUCUAGAACUUUUAACUGGAGAGGAUUCUCUUAAUAUAACCCGAUUUACAAUUGAUAAAGAUUCUACUUUAAUAGCAUACAUACAUAACCGUGCUCAAGGUAGUUGCAUAAACGAGAUUGUGGAUCCUGCAAUCUUGGCUGAAGAUGGGGAAGGAGGUGCUAGUUUACAGCAUCAAUUACAAGCUGUGGUGGACCUUGCCUUGACAUGUACAGAGGAAGAUCCACAAAGAAGGCCAGCUAUGGUUGAUGUCACCAAACAACUCAGGCGGAUUGAAAGGUUCACAAAAAUGGGUGAAGAGCUUGGGGGAAAUUUGCAAAAUUUAAAGCUUCUUGAGAGUUUUGAAGAGCAUGCUUCUGCAUCAUUGAAAAGGAAUGCUUCCAGUGAUGAAAUCCAAGCAGUGAACGAAGCCUCUGAAAGGCCUCUUGAAGUUUAAUUGUGAUGCAACUGAAUGAUGACAGAGCUUGUAUGGCAGUUUUAACUUGUGAUUGGGAAGUUAUCAUUAUGGCAAACCCUUAAGGUAUGUAUUGAUGCUAUAAGAACUGGAGGAUAGGUUGUUAUUGGCAAAGGGGUUUGAUAAUUGUUCUUUUGUUUGAAUAAAAGGAAUGCAAACUAAGUAGUUCAAGGUCUUAGUAACUGGCUAUGUAUAGUGGUUUGUUGGGGGAAAAAAAGACUUCUGUACUGUUUAAUUGGUUUGUAAAUUUUCUUUUUCCAGAUUAUAUAUGAUUUCUCAAUUUAGUUUGGCAAACCUUCUGAUGGAACUCUGCUAGAGAAAUAUAGUUGCAUAGGGCUGCUUGAACUUUGUACAGUAGUGGAGAGAUACAUCAAAGAAAAAACUCUAGGUCACACACUCACACUAACUCAUUUAAUGUGCAAAAACUCUAAUCCAAUUGCCCUGGGUAUCAAUCUAUGCUAAGAUAGAUAUUUGGCAUUGUAAAACAUAUCCAGAUGCCUUAUCCCACAAUCACAAAGGAUUGUCACAAUAGGACCAAUACAGUUUGCCAAAAAAGCAAGUGUUGUUGGUUCAAACACUAGGCCCCCUGAUGAUGGAGGAUUGAGAAAUCAAGUGAUGUUUGAGAAUAAAAAAUAAAUUUCCAAGAAAUUCCUUUCCAAAAAAAUAAAUUUCCAGGCAAUUGCUUUCCAAUUAAGCUUCAGGAGGCCUUCCAAUUCCAAAAAAAUAAAUUUCCAGGCAAUUGCUUUCCAAUUAAGCUUCAGGAGGCCUCUGGAAGGCCUCCUAAAGCUUAAUUGUGAUGCAAUUGAGUGAUUACAGAGCUUCUAUGCUGUUUAGUUGGCUUGUAAAUUUCAAUUAUGAUGCAAGUAAAAUGGAAUUUUAUUAAUGAAUUAUAAUAUGUGGUAACAAUAAUAUUCUCAA